This 72-nucleotide transfer RNA is filed under the name Camelus bactrianus (Bactrian camel). It matches the Rfam family "tRNA". Rfam says of the family: Transfer RNA (tRNA) molecules are approximately 80 nucleotides in length. Their secondary structure includes four short double-helical elements and three loops (D, anti-codon, and T loops). Further hydrogen bonds mediate the characteristic L-shaped molecular structure. tRNAs have two regions of fundamental functional importance: the anti-codon, which is responsible for specific mRNA codon recognition, and the 3' end, to which the tRNAs corresponding amino acid is attached (by aminoacyl-tRNA synthetases). tRNAs cope with the degeneracy of the genetic code in two manners: having more than one tRNA (with a specific anti-codon) for a particular amino acid; and 'wobble' base-pairing, i.e. permitting non-standard base-pairing at the 3rd anti-codon position. RNAcentral also lists the same sequence under 2 other names. The record is from Rfam by way of RNAcentral. Lineage: Eukaryota; Metazoa; Chordata; Mammalia; Artiodactyla; Camelidae.
GAGGAUAUAGCUCAGUGGCAGAGUGCAGUGCAUAGCAUGCCCGAGGUCCUGGGUUCAAUCCCGGUUACCUCC